Zingiber officinale is the source of this 804-nucleotide long non-coding RNA. RefSeq lists it as uncharacterized. Lineage: Eukaryota; Viridiplantae; Streptophyta; Magnoliopsida; Zingiberales; Zingiberaceae. The record is from RefSeq and is a predicted model, not a curated record. The transcript is spliced from 3 exons.
CUCCCUCGCUACAUCUUCCUCGCCGACUCAGCUUUCUGCCGACUGCUUUCUCGCCGACUUUCUCACCUUCUCACCGACUUUCUCCCCGACUCUUCUUCUUGUAUCUCGACGGCGUCGUGUAUCUGACCAACCCUGCUGCUCGUAUCUCGCCGACUCUGCUGCUGCUCUCUCAAAAGAAAAAAAAAUUAGGACGAGAAGUGGAUCAAUUUGAAGUUUUUGAACGAAUGCAUAAAAAGAAGCAAGGUACUGGAGAGUUUAUGGAUAACAAAUCGGCCCGAGUUAAUGAACAAUAUAGACAACGACAAAAUGUUGAUGAUGACUCUACUAAUCCUUCAUUCAAUCUCCAAUCAUGGUGUGAUGUGGUGGGUGGCCAAUAUAAGGGAAGAGUGUAUGGAUUUGGACGCAAUCAACACUUUAGAAGAUCAUAUACAAUGGAAGCUCCAACGAAAUAAACUCCAAUGAAAAAAACAAAGAACUAUCACAAGAAAUUAAAGGCAUGCGUGCUACUAGCAAGAGAAUGGAGAAAGAAAUUAUUGAAAGCAAAAACAAAUUGAAACUCAUUAUCACAUAAAAUCGGCAAAGGGAAGAAAAACUUAUCAAGGAAGGUAGACAAAGGGAAGAAAAACUUAUGGAGGAAGGUAGACAAAGAGAAGAAAAUCUCAAGGGGAUGGUUCGUAAGAUGAUUCAAGAGGUUGGAUAUACCAAUCAUUUAUAUCCAGGAGGAUCUGAUCCCCGUGAGCGUCUUAAUAAACGAAAUAAAGAUUAGAUUUAGUUAGAUAAUAUGAAUAUUUGGAUGAUGUGAUA